This 824-nucleotide small RNA is filed under the name Ceratitis capitata (Mediterranean fruit fly). RNAcentral describes it as "uncharacterized LOC101454847, transcript variant X1". The record is from RNAcentral. Lineage: Eukaryota; Metazoa; Arthropoda; Insecta; Diptera; Tephritidae.
AAAUAUAAAUAAAUAAACGAAAUAAAAAAAAUCCAUCUAAGCACUUAAAAAGAAAACAAUCGAAAAAAAAACAAAAAACUACCAAAUAUCAACACAACAUUGACUUACGUGCCCCCCAAACGAACCGUUCGCACACUUGCCGCCGCACUGCCAGUGCAAAGCAGCUUCGCUGAGCGCGCGCACGUGCCUUCUUCACUCAAUGUAAUCAUCGGCGCUUCGUUUCUCGUCUACUGUUAGCGUCUGCUAACUGUUUAGUGUUUAUUUGUAUUUUUUUGCAUGGUGCUUUUUAUUGCUCACUUCUGCUGCUGCUGCUGCUGUUGCUGCUGAUUCGCUGUUGCAUGCAAUUGCUCUUGCAUUAGAUGCCUGAUUUUUUUUUUUUUGUUUUUGGCAGUAAUAAACUCAAGCAAGAAAAGCUGACGAAAAAAAAGUUUUGGAGAAUAACCGUUACUGCUCGAAGAAGUAAAACAGCGAAUUGUUAAAGUGCAGAUAAUUCCUCGAUUGCAUGCGGCCCUUUUUGGCGAAAUUCCAGCAACAAACCAUUAAUUUGCUUUGGCAAUACACACCUUCUACGUCGUGACUGCGUAUAAAAAAAUACAAAGUUUUAACAAAAUCACACUCAUAAGAGACAAGGCACAUAAGAAACAACAGUUUGAAUACCGCAAACAUCUACUCUUUGCCACAUUUUUCUCUGCAACAUUGGCAGCAAAUUACAACAACAAGCGAUUAAUUUCAACUUAACAAAAAUAAAAAAUUAAAAACGUUUUAACUUCAUUCAAACAACGAUUCUGUGAUAUAAGAACCAAAAGGUAAGUGAAUGAAUUUGA